Molecule: ribosomal RNA, 119 nt
Organism: Lepisosteus oculatus (spotted gar)
Lineage: Eukaryota; Metazoa; Chordata; Actinopteri; Semionotiformes; Lepisosteidae
Source: Ensembl
GCCAGCAGCCAUAUUACUCUGCAACUCACAACUGAUAACCCACUGAACCUAAGCAGGUGUGAGCCUGGUCAGUACCUGGAUGGGAGACCUCCUGGGAAAAACUAAGGCUGCUGCUGGAA